GCCGGGCAUGGUAGUGGGUGCCCGUAAUCCCAGCUACGUGGGAGGCUGAGGCAGGAGAAUUGCUUGAACCCAGGAGGCAGAGGUUGCAGUGAGCCAAGAUCGUGCCACUGCACUCCAGCCUGGGUGACAGAGCGAGACUCUGUCUCAA
Molecule: non-coding RNA, 148 nt
Filed under: Homo sapiens (human)
Lineage: Eukaryota; Metazoa; Chordata; Mammalia; Primates; Hominidae
Source: Rfam by way of RNAcentral